ACGGCUCAGUAACACGUAGUCAAUCUACCCUAUGGACGGGAAUAACCUCGGGAAACUGAGAAUAAUGCCCGAUAGAACAUUAUACCUGGAAUGGUUUAUGUUCCAAAUGAUUUAUCGCCAUAGGAUGGGACUGCGGCCUAUCAGUUUGUUGGUGAGGUAAUGGCCCACCAAGACUAUUACAGGUACGGGCUCUGAGAGGAGUGGCCCGGAGAUGGGUACUGAGACACGGACCCAGGCCCUAUGGGGCGCAGCAGGCGAGAAAACUUUGCAAUGUGCGAAAGCACGACAAGGUUAAUCCGAGUGGUUUCUGCUAAAGAAACCUUUUGUCAGUCCUAGAAACACUAACGAAUAAGGGGUGGGCAAGUUCUGGUGUCAGCCGCCGCGGUAAAACCAGCACCUCAAGUGGUCAGGAUGGUUAUUGGGCCUAAAGCAUCCGUAGCUCGUUUUGUAAGUUUUCGGUUAAAUCCAUGCGCUUAACGUAUGGGCUGCCGGGAAUACUGCAUAACUAGGAAGUGGGAGAGGUAGACGGUACUCGGUAGGAAGGGGUAAAAUCCUUUGAUCUAUUGAUGACCACCUGUGGCGAAGGCGGUCUACCAGAACACGUUCGACGGUGAGGGAUGAAAGCUGGGGGAGCAAACCGGAUUAGAUACCCGGGUAGUCCCAGCUGUAAACUAUGCAAACUCAGUGAUGCAUUGGCUUGUGGCCAAUGCAGUGCUGCAGGAAGCCGUUAAGUUUGCCGCCUGGGAAGUACGUACGCAAGUAUGAAACUUAAAGGAAUUGGCGGGGGGAGCAC
RNAcentral lists this ribosomal RNA (793 nucleotides) under uncultured archaeon. RNAcentral describes it as "bacterial SSU rRNA". It matches the Rfam family "Archaeal small subunit ribosomal RNA", at positions 85 to 879 of the family's 1478-position model. The record is from RNAcentral.